This 447-nucleotide ribosomal RNA is filed under the name uncultured bacterium. RNAcentral's name for it is "partial 16S ribosomal RNA". It matches the Rfam family "Bacterial small subunit ribosomal RNA", at positions 29 to 523 of the family's 1533-position model. The record is from RNAcentral.
AACGAACGCUGGCGGCAGGCUUAACACAUGCAAGUCGAACGCCCCGCGAGGGGAGUGGCAGACGGGUGAGUAACGCGUGGGAAUCUACCUGGAACUACGGAACAACUGAGGGAAACUUCAGCUAAUACCGUAUACGCCCUACGGGGGAAAGAUUUAUCGGUUUCAGAUGAGCCCGCGUAAGAUUAGCUAGUUGGUGGGGUAAUGGCCUACCAAGGCGACGAUCUUUAGCUGGUCUGAGAGGAUGAUCAGCCACACUGGGACUGAGACACGGCCCAGACUCCUACGGGAGGCAGCAGUGGGGAAUAUUGGACAAUGGGCGCAAGCCUGAUCCAGCCAUGCCGCGUGAGUGAUGAAGGCCUUAGGGUUGUAAAGCUCUUUCAGUGGGGAAGAUAAUGACGGUACCCACAGAAGAAGCCCCGGCUAACUUCGUGCCAGCAGCCGCCGUAA